CCUACGGGUGGCAGCAGUGAGGAAUAUUGGUCAAUGGGCGCGCGCCUGAACCAGCCAAGUCGCGUGAGGGAUGACGGCCCUACGGGUUGUAAACCUCUUUUGCCGGGGAGCAACGGGGGCCACGUGUGGCGCCACUGAGAGUACCCGGAGAAAAAGCAUCGGCUAACUCCGUGCCAGCAGCCGCGGUAAUACGGAGGAUGCGAGCGUUAUCCGGAUUUAUUGGGUUUAAAGGGUGCGUAGGCGGAACGUUAAGUCAGCGGUCAAAUUGCGGGGCUCAACCCCUUUCCGCCGUUGAAACUGGCGUUCUUGAGUGGAAGAGAAGUAUGCGGAAUGCGUGGUGUAGCGGUGAAAUGCAUAGAUAUCACGCAGAACCCCGAUUGCGAAGGCAGCAUGCCGGCGUCCAACUGACGCUGAAGCACGAAAGCGUGGGUAUCGAACAGGAUUAGAUACCCUUGUAGUC
RNAcentral lists this ribosomal RNA (460 nucleotides) under uncultured bacterium. Its description in RNAcentral is "partial 16S ribosomal RNA". It matches the Rfam family "Bacterial small subunit ribosomal RNA", at positions 338 to 795 of the family's 1533-position model. The record is from RNAcentral.